UCCCGGGCGCGUGGCUGAGACUCGGCGCGGGUGGCGGGGUGAGCGCGGGCGCGAGCCGAGCGCACAGCCGAGGCGGCGGGCAGCCCGGGUUAUCUGAGCCUCUCGGUCUUGGGUGGCUGCGUCCAGAUCUCCGGGCGGCGGCAGCCAAGGCGAGACGCGCUGUCGGGCCGCGGAGGAGCGGAGAAGCGAGACCCAGGCCCAAACUGCAGCGGCGAGGAGCAGAGCAUGGAACAGCGCGCCGGCCAGGCAGGUUGACUGCAGGUUCUGGGAGGACCAGCUUUCUUUGUUUGGAACCCGGCUGGACAGGAUUUCCUUCCCGAAGUCUCUGCCAAUGGGCCAGCUCCUCCCAACGGCUUUGGCCAGCUUGCCGGAAGGGGACCAUGCUGGAGGCCACAAUUAACCCGGCUGUUGGUGGGGUGGGGGCAGGGGUAGUAUUUAACUGAUACCCUGACAGUUGGGGAGGUGCAGUGGGCAAGGGGCACAGGAAGGAGUGGGAAUGGAAGAGUGGCAGGCAAGAGAGACAGAAAGCAGAGUGAUGAACAUGGACAGGGUGUGGUAUAGUCAAUAGAAAGAAAAAAGUUUGAAAGGGAGGAAUAUAGGAAGGAAGGCGGUUAAGAAUCCUCGUCACCUUUACAGGGAAGGUAACUUCCCUACAAGUUGGAUGGAAAACACCAACCCCUGUCCUUCCCAAGCACCCCAAACCCUCCCUUCCUUCUUUGUGGAAGGUUAAGGGUUCAAAAAGCUAGGCACUUAUUCCUUAA
Long non-coding RNA from Camelus dromedarius (Arabian camel), 761 nucleotides. RefSeq lists it as uncharacterized. The record is from RefSeq and is a predicted model, not a curated record. The transcript is spliced from 2 exons. NCBI's taxonomy places the organism in Eukaryota, Metazoa, Chordata, Mammalia, Artiodactyla, Camelidae.